AUCCUGGCUCAGGAUGAACGCUAGCUACAGGCUUAACACAUGCAAGUCGAGGGGAAACGAUAGAGAAAGCUUGCUUUUUCUAGGCGUCGACCGGCGCACGGGUGAGUAACGCGUANCCAACCUGCCCAUCACUUGGGGAUAACCUUGCGAAAGUAAGACUAAUACCCAAUGACGUCUCUAGAAGACAUCUGAAAGAGAUUAAAGAUUUAUCGGUGAUGGAUGGGGAUGCGUCUGAUUAGCUUGUUGGCGGGGUAACGGCCCACCAAGGCGACGAUCAGUAGGGGUUCUGAGAGGAAGGUCCCCCACAUUGGAACUGAGACACGGUCCAAACUCCUACGGGAGGCAGCAGUGAGGAAUAUUGGUCAAUGGACGAGAGUCUGAACCAGCCAAGUAGCGUGCAGGAUGACGGCCCUAUGGGUUGUAAACUGCUUUUAUACGGGAAUAAAGUGAGGCAUGUGUGCCUUUUUGUAUGUACCGUAUGAAUAAGGAUCGGCUAACUCCGUG
Molecule: ribosomal RNA, 504 nt
Filed under: uncultured bacterium
Lineage: Bacteria
Description: bacterial SSU rRNA
Rfam family: Bacterial small subunit ribosomal RNA
Source: RNAcentral